This is a long non-coding RNA of Hippocampus comes (tiger tail seahorse), 445 nucleotides long. RefSeq lists it as uncharacterized. Lineage: Eukaryota; Metazoa; Chordata; Actinopteri; Syngnathiformes; Syngnathidae. The record is from RefSeq and is a predicted model, not a curated record. The transcript is spliced from 2 exons.
UGCCGUUCGGCGAAAGGCCGUCCACCUCUUUUUCGUUUUCCAGGAGAGAGAGCUCCACUUUGACUUCAACUGCACAACACAGACAUGAGGAGCUGCCCUCAACUAAGAGGGGCCGUACGAACGCAAGCAAAGGACAAAUGAAGUCACAAGUGGAACAAAUGAAAGCAGGAAAAAAAAGGUGAAUGGAAUCAUUUAGAGGGGGAACCUGCCUAAGUGAGUCCUUUCCAUCCAUUCUUCAUUAAUAAUGAGGAUAAUUGUCAUCAGUCAUUUGAACGGUUUUGCGUCAAAAUCCUUAAGUCAUUUAUUGUUCAUACUCAUGGUGCUCAAUUAUAUUUACUUUUAUAUUAGAAUUAAAAAUAUGAAUAUCACAUGAACAGGUCUGCUAAAACAUUCCUCCACUUUUUUUCCUUCUCUUUUAAAGGAGAAAGGCAAAGAGUCAAGAAAU